Molecule: small RNA, 219 nt
Rfam family: SR1 sRNA
UAUUAUAAUAUGAAUACGCUAUCAUAAAAUAUCAUCACAAAGGAGUUGGGCCAGAUGGGCACCAUUGUUUGUCAGGAUUGUCAAAAAGUUAUUGAACAGUUUGAUGAUGAAAAAGUCACUACCCUAUACGGUACUUGUCCGACUUGUCGUGAAAUAAUAAAUAAAUAACUAUAAGGUAAUCAUAAAGCUGCCGUCCAACUUGAAACGGCAGCUUUAUUU